Molecule: long non-coding RNA, 215 nt
Filed under: Lathyrus oleraceus (garden pea)
Lineage: Eukaryota; Viridiplantae; Streptophyta; Magnoliopsida; Fabales; Fabaceae
Description: Pisum sativum (pea) long non-coding RNA (PSAT_LNC007952)
Source: RNAcentral
AAACCCAUGUACCAUCGGAGAGCGGCACUGGACAGACUGUCCUGGAAAUAAUGGAUGAGCAGUUGGUCAUUAUCAGUUUGCGUCGACAUCUUACGAGCAUACAUCACAAGAUGACUGAGAGGGCAUGUGUUUCCCCUAUACUUCUCAAAGUCAAGCACUUUGAAUUUAAUAGGGAUCUUCACGUUGGGUACAAGGCACAACUCAGCAGCACUUUU